Molecule: long non-coding RNA, 671 nt
Organism: Cyprinus carpio carpio
Lineage: Eukaryota; Metazoa; Chordata; Actinopteri; Cypriniformes; Cyprinidae
Source: Ensembl
UACAUGAGAAGGAGAAUAGGAUGAAAUCUACUUACUGCAUUGAAAUGAGGAUUUACAAAAGCUUCAGUCUGGAUCCAGAACACCUAAGAAGAGAAGACCCCAACCCCUCAGAGGACCUCAGAGAACCCAGAAACAACAUACAGAACUACCAAAUUUUGCUAUAAGUUUGAUAGCAUCAUAUAAUAAUUGAUGUUAAUAGUGUUCAUUGUCUGUUUGAUUAGAUCUUUAAUUGAUUUUUUCCAUACAUUUCUUCCAUAAGUCCAUCAACUGACAGUCACCACUGACUACUACUAAAUAAUGUAGAAACUUAAUUUUCUGGAAAGUUGCUUUGCAAUGAUUUGUAUCAUGAAAAGCGCUAUACAAAUAAUCUUGAAUUGUACUGAACUGAAUUGAAUCCAAAAUGUAGAUGAGUUUGUUUCUUCAUCAGAACAGAUUUGGCGAAAUGUAGCAUUAUCACUUUCCGUAAGUAUGAGAGUCCAGCACAACAGAUAAAAUCAUCACAUUAAUUCACAAGUAAUCCAUACCAUUCCAGUCCAUCAAUUAAUGGCUUGGGAAGCAGAUAAAUGUGUUUGUAAGAAACAAAUCCACCAUCAGGAUGUUUUAACUUAAAACUAUUGCUUUCAACUAAAAUACAAGGAAUAGUUCAAAGGGACUAUUUUAAUUCCUUACUA